This 147-nucleotide non-coding RNA is filed under the name Gorilla gorilla gorilla (western lowland gorilla). The record is from Rfam by way of RNAcentral. Lineage: Eukaryota; Metazoa; Chordata; Mammalia; Primates; Hominidae.
GCCAGGCAUGGUGGCGCAUGCCUAUAGUCCCAGCAACUUGGGAGGCUGAGCUGGGAGGAUCACUUGAGCCCAGGAGUUCUGGGUGCAGUGAGCUAUGAUCACACCACUGCACUCCAGUUUGGGCAACAGAGUGAGACCCUGUCACUA